UGACCUCUGCUGUGUACGUAUUGAAAUAAGAUUUGAAAAAACCGAUACCCGUACUCAGGGAAAUCGGGCCUUGAUGGAUCGAAAAUGCCUACUCGAUAGGACUUUCGGACACAAGCAACGAUUACCCACUUUGAAAUACUGGGUUUGUUCAGACACUUUCUUACGGCGUCAGCGGUGGAAAG
This 182-nucleotide non-coding RNA is filed under the name Planctomycetota bacterium. RNAcentral describes it as "Planctomycetes bacterium 6S RNA". It matches the Rfam family "6S / SsrS RNA". Rfam says of the family: E. coli 6S RNA was the first non coding RNA to be sequenced, but its function was unknown until recently. It consists of 184 nucleotides that fold into an extended hairpin structure with a large single-stranded internal bulge. The record is from RNAcentral. Lineage: Bacteria; Pseudomonadati; Planctomycetota.